Molecule: ribosomal RNA, 268 nt
Filed under: uncultured prokaryote
Description: partial 16S ribosomal RNA
Rfam family: Bacterial small subunit ribosomal RNA
Source: RNAcentral
UACGUAGGUGGCAAGCGUUAUCCGGAAUUAUUGGGCGUAAAGAGCGCGCAGGUGGUUGAUUAAGUCUGAUGUGAAAGCCCACGGCUUAACCGUGGAGGGUCAUUGGAAACUGGUCGACUUGAGUGCAGAAGAGGGAAGUGGAAUUCCAUGUGUAGCGGUGAAAUGCGUAGAGAUAUGGAGGAACACCAGUGGCGAAGGCGGCUUCCUGGUCUGUAACUGACACUGAGGCACGAAAGCGUGGGGAGCAAACAGGAUUAGAUACCCCGUA